UAAUACAUGCUUUUUGUUUUUCAUUAAAGUAACAUUAAAUAAAUACAUAUUGAUAAUAAAUAAUUAACAAGUUACCUAAGAAAAAAGACGUAAAUCAAUACUCAUUGUUAUAUUUAAUAUCUUUUCGUUACAUUCUCCUUCAAUAUUAUGAAGAAAUUGUUUGUAAGGAAAAAAAAAAAUACAGAAAAAAGAAAUAAAUAAAAAAUAGAGAAAAAAGGAAAAAGAGAGAGAGAGAGAGAGAGAGAGAGAGAGAGAGAGACGAGGAAAAAAAUGAUAAUUAAAGAUGCUGUUGUCAUUUCAAUUAGAACUCUUUCCUCGUAAUACUACUUACAUGAUAUUUAUGAAUUACAAAGCUUUGCGUUCCUAACUCGCAGACUUGCGUAAUCCUUCAGAUCGCGAAAAUUAGGUCCGCUUAUGUUGGAAUUUCAUUGUUUUCAUCAUCGACACAUUAUUAUUAUCUUUUUUUUCGUUUUAACGUUAUUGCAGAUAUCAAUCCUCGUAUCAAUUCGAUAACGUGCAUAUAUGUGUGCGAUAUAUAUAUAUAUAUAUAUAUAUAUAUAUAUAUAUAUGUACGUGGUAUAUAAACAGUGUACCUGCAUACACACAUAGAUACACUUAUUUGAUUUAAAGGCCUGUUAAGAGGAUGAUAUUGAACGUAUGUAUGAAUGUAUCUCGUUUCCUUCCAAGAGUUACAUUCAAUUUCUAUUCAGGCCCGUCGGAUGACGUCGAAGGCCGAAUUAUUACUAAUGUCGAGGACGUUUGUACCUUCGAUUACCUAGAAUGCAAGUGUGUUCAUAUAGAAACAUAUCUUCCAACAACAAGGACGAAGGAAGUUCUGCAUUCUAGUUAGUUUUGAAUUAACCGGACGCAUUAAAUCCACGUAUAUACUGACCGACUUGUCAAGUUUAUUUAACUAGGACGACAUCUUUUAACACGUACCGUGUCAAGUCAUUUUUGCCUGACUUGUCGUUCAGGCCAUUUGAUAUUUUGACUAAAGAAAAAAAUGACUGCGUGUACUACCGGUGGUACACGUGACCUGAAGAUCAAGAUUAACGUGUACCACCGGUGGUACACAUGGCACGGAACGUGUCAAUACUUGAAUU
Long non-coding RNA from Vespa mandarinia (Asian giant hornet), 1103 nucleotides. The record is from RefSeq and is a predicted model, not a curated record. NCBI's taxonomy places the organism in Eukaryota, Metazoa, Arthropoda, Insecta, Hymenoptera, Vespidae.